GCGGGCGUAGCUCAAUGGUAGAGCCCCAGCCUUCCAAGCUGGCCAUGCGGGUUCGAUUCCCGUCGCCCGCUCCA
This 74-nucleotide transfer RNA is filed under the name Nocardioidaceae bacterium. RNAcentral's name for it is "tRNA-Gly". It matches the Rfam family "tRNA". Rfam says of the family: Transfer RNA (tRNA) molecules are approximately 80 nucleotides in length. Their secondary structure includes four short double-helical elements and three loops (D, anti-codon, and T loops). Lineage: Bacteria; Bacillati; Actinomycetota; Actinomycetes; Propionibacteriales; Nocardioidaceae. RNAcentral also lists the same sequence under 5 other names. The record is from RNAcentral.